RNAcentral lists this microRNA precursor (89 nucleotides) under Pelobates cultripes (western spadefoot toad). It matches the Rfam family "mir-449 microRNA precursor family". The record is from RNAcentral. Lineage: Eukaryota; Metazoa; Chordata; Amphibia; Anura; Pelobatidae.
UAUAUGAAUAUGGGUGGGCAGUGUAUGUAUGUAUGUAUAUAUAUAUAUACAUACAUACACUGCUACACUGCCCACCCAUAUUCAUACAC